CUAGUAUAGCAUUAUACGGCGAAACUGCGAAUGGCUCAUUAAAUCAGUUAUCGUCCACUUGAUCGCCCCUUACUACAUGGAUACCUGUGGUAAUUCUAGAGCUAAUACAUGCUAAAAACCCCGACUUACGGAGGGGUGGAUUUAUUAGAUUCAAAACCAAUGCCCUCCGGGGCUCCUUGGUGAGUCAUGAUAACUUCGCGGAUCGCAUGGCCUUGCGCCGGCGAUGGUUCAUCCGAAUUUCUGCCCUAUCAACUUUCGAUGGCUGGGUCUUGGCCAGCCAUGGUGACAACGGGUAACGGAGGGUUAGGGCUCGACCCCGGAGAAGGAGCCUGAGAGACGGCUACUACAUCCAAGGAAGGCAGCAGGCGCGCAAAUUACCCAAUCCCGACCCGGGGAGGUAGUGACAAUACAUACUGAUACAGGGCUCUUUUGGGUCUUGUAAUUGGAAUGAGUACAAUUUAAAUCCCUUAACGAGGAACAAUUGGAGGGCAAGUCUGGUGCCAGCAGCCGCGGUAAUUCCAGCUCCAAUAGCGUAUAUUAAAGUUGUUGAGGUUAAAAAGCUCGUAGUUGAACCUUGGGCCUGGCUGGCCGGUCCGCCUCACCGCGUGCACUGGUCCGGCCGGGCCUUUCCCUCUGGGGAUCCGCAUGCCCUUUACUGGGUGUGCCGGGGAACCAGGACGUUUACUCUGAACAAAUCAGAUCGCUUAAAGAAGGCCUAUGCUCGAAUGUUCUAGCAUGGAAUAAUGGAAUAGGACGUGCGGUUCUAUUUUGUUGGUUUCUAGGACCGCCGUAAUGAUUAAUAGGGACAGUCGGGGGCAUCAGUAUUCAAUUGUCAGAGGUGAAAUUCUUGGAUUUAUUGAAGACUAAACUACUGCGAAAGCAUUUGCCAAGGAUGUUUUCAUUAAUCAGGAACGAAAGUUAGGGGAUCGAAGACGAUCAGAUACCGUCGUAGUCUUACCAUAAACUAUGCCGAUUAGGGAUCGGACGGUGUUAUUUUUGACCGUUCGGCACCUUACGAAAAAUCAAAUGUUGGGCUCUGGGAGUAUGGUCGCAAGGCUGAAACUUUAAGAAUUUAACGGAAGA
Molecule: ribosomal RNA, 1083 nt
Filed under: Phyllachora virgatae
Lineage: Eukaryota; Fungi; Ascomycota; Sordariomycetes; Phyllachorales; Phyllachoraceae
Description: SSU rRNA
Rfam family: Eukaryotic small subunit ribosomal RNA
Source: RNAcentral